AGGAUUCUGGGAGCACCACCAACACUUUGGUUUCAUUUCUUUGAUUGAUAGCGGCCAGAAAAAAUAACUUUCCACCAGUUUUAUUCCAGCAACAAAUCUCCGGGGAUAUUGCUUGUGGAUAGUUUUUGAUUCUAACAUUUUUUUUAACAUUUUGUAAAUGACAAAAACUAAGACAUUUCUAUAAACAACUUUUUUGUACUCACCACUAGAUAGAAUAACGUCGUUGUGAUAAAGACAUCAGGAGAUGGACAAGACCCCAUUACGGUUCCUCUACAUUCCUUACUAGUUCCAGAAAGAAACAAUGAACAGAAGAUUCUCAAAGUCACCAAGAAGAUCAUUAAAAUGCUAACAGGAGAGAGUGGAAACUGGAGCAAUAUUAAUGUUAGUAUUAAAGAAGAGAUAAAAGAAGGAGAGGAUGAAGAUGGUGUGAUAGAAGAGCAGGAGUGUUUAGAAGAACCCAACAAUCUCCACAAGGACAUAAUGAUGGAGGAUCAGUCGCCCCUCACAUCACCGGAUGGAUCCAGUAAUGGGAACCCACCAGAGAGAUGUCC
This is a long non-coding RNA of Rana temporaria (common frog), 551 nucleotides long. RefSeq lists it as uncharacterized. NCBI's taxonomy places the organism in Eukaryota, Metazoa, Chordata, Amphibia, Anura, Ranidae. The record is from RefSeq and is a predicted model, not a curated record. The transcript is spliced from 4 exons.